Folsomia candida is the source of this 1432-nucleotide long non-coding RNA. RefSeq lists it as uncharacterized. The transcript has 3 exons. The record is from RefSeq and is a predicted model, not a curated record. Lineage: Eukaryota; Metazoa; Arthropoda; Collembola; Entomobryomorpha; Isotomidae.
GACACAGCUACACUUUCUGAAUAAUCUUGAGAUUUCCAUUCAACUCCUCAGAUUUUAGGGAACAUAUUAUUUGUACUCUCUCUCUCUUUCUCUCUCGGUCUGAAGUUUUGAGAUAAGUGUACUCUAGUUGCCUUAACGCGAUAUGUCAUGUCAUCAUAAGUUAGGUACGAACGUUAUCCCCAAAAACAGUGACUUGAAACUAGAAAAAGGGUCCAACACACAAGAGUUGUUGACGUUUUUUUUUUAGCUUAAUAAGUGUAUAUGUCCAUACACAAUACAGAUACACAAAAGGGAUUUGAUUAACAAUCUCAAAUGUAGUUUUGAUGGUAUAUAUAAUAGAGGCCAAAGAGCUAAAAUACAUGCAAGAACGGAAUUCAAUUUCUGUAUACGUACUGGUGACUCAAGUGAGUCGCAUAAUACACACAGUGUGUAGAGGCAUCAUGAAAAACGUCACUUGACUAUAUUCCUUCAACACUUUCAAUUCAUCAUUCACUCUAAACUCAAUCCAUUCAACAGGCUAAACUAUCGCUCGAUAACUUGAGAUUUCACAGUCAGUUAUCAACCCUCGUGGUGCCAACAUCCAAUUAACUAACUUUGCAAAGAAAAACGUUUUAGUUGGAAUUCUGCUCUCAUGAGCAAUACUCGGGAGUGGGCUUUGAAAAUCACAGGACCUUGGAUAAUGGUACCACUCCUACACAAGUACUAUCUACCUGUACAGUGUAGUUCUUUAUUGGGCAUUUUGCAUUUGUAUUUGCAAGCGAGCUGCCCUAUAAAGGGCUAUACUUGUGCGGAAAUAUUCUUCAAAAAUUCAAGACAAGUUUACUUACCCUGCAUUUCCUGGAGUUGCUUCAAAUGAGGGUAAAGCUGCAGAGUUGCUGGACCCUGAAAAUUUACAGAAUUUUAAAAUGGUCAAGGAUUUAAUCGAGAAGGAGACAUCACCACCGUGGGUUAAUUUUAUGCAUUAUACAGAUAGGAUAGGAGUACAGUCAACCCCACCCCAACAAUGUUAUUGAUCAUCUUCCUUGCAUAAUGCAUACCUGAUAUUUUGGACAUGUCUGGACACGAUUCAGACGACAACCAUUUACAAGGUUUCCUUCACGAACGUGGAUGCAACCAUACGUAUGAAACUACCACUCUGCUAUCUUUUCGUCAUGACCUCAUCGCUACGCGAGCAUAUCAAUCAUAACAACUUACCAAUUGAUGAAACUGGACUUGCCAGCGGAAUGAUUUCCAAGAAUCAUAACCGUCACUUUACGCCGUGGAUAUGGCAGUUCAAUACCCACAAGUUUUCCCAACUUCACCAGACCUGCAAACAAUAAAGUUCAAAUUUUAUGUGUAUCUACUAAACUCGUUCGUUCGAGAGGAUAAUAUUUUAAACAAAUUGAAAUGCAAAAUUUAAAUAAAAUUCUAUUCCAUUCGUCUAUCAUCAUCA